CCUACGGGGUGCUGCAGUGAGGAAUAUUGGUCAAUGGGCUUACGCCUGAACCAGCCAAGUCGCGUGAGGGAAGACUGCCCUAUGGGUUGUAAACCUCUUUUGUCAGGGAGCAACGCCGGCUACGUGUAGCCGGACUGAGAGUACCUGCAGAAAAAGCAUCGGCUAACUCCGUGCCAGCAGCCGCGGUAAUACGGAGGAUGCGAGCGUUCUCCGGAUUGAUUGGGUUUAAAGGGUGCGUAGGCGGGAUGCCAAGUCAGCGGUAAAAUCGCGGGGCUCAACCUCGGUCCGCCGUGGAGAAUGGCGAGCUAGAGUGAGAGAGAAGGAAGCGGAAUGAGGAGUGGAGCGGUGAAAGGAGUAGAUAUAACGCAGAACUCCAA
Molecule: ribosomal RNA, 377 nt
Filed under: uncultured bacterium
Lineage: Bacteria
Description: partial 16S ribosomal RNA
Rfam family: Bacterial small subunit ribosomal RNA
Source: RNAcentral